GCUUUGCUUGCCAACACCCUCACAAUAUAGGCAGGGAAAAACAGGAACCCAGACCUUUGUUGUACUUACACUGUGAAAUUUUAUGAUGGAGUAGUUCAGACUGUCAAACAUAUUCAUGUCAAAGCUUUUUCCAAAGAUCAGAAUAUUGUGGGUAAUGCUAGGCCUAAAGAAACAGAUCACAAAAGUCUUCCAUCAUCUCCUGAUAAACGAGAGAAGUUUAAAGAACAGAGAAAAGCAACAGUGAAUGUGAAGAAAGACAAAGAAGAUAAACCCUUAAAGACAGAAAAGCGACCCAAGCAGCCUGAUAAAGAAGGAAAGUUAAUCUGUUCUGAAAAGGGGAAAGUGUCAGAGAAAAGUCUUCCCAAGAACGAGAAGGAAGACAAGGAAAACAUUUCUGAAAAUGACAGAGAGUAUUCUGGAGAUGCCCAAGUGGAUAAGAAACCUGAAAAUGACAUUGUGAAGAGUCCACAAGAAAACUUGAGGGAACCCAAAAGAAAACGAGGCAGACCCCCUUCCAUAGCUCCUACUGCUGUGGAUUCAAACUCUCAAACUUUGCAACCAAUAACAUUGGAACUGAGAAGAAGGAAAAUAUCAAAAGGAUGUGAAGUCCCAUUAAAACGUCCUCGGCUUGACAAAAAUUCAUCCCAGGAAAAGUCAAAAAACUACUCGGAAAACACUGACAAAGACUUAUCGAGGAGACGUUCCUCCAGGCUGUCCACUAAUGGGACCCAUGAGAUCCUAGAUCCUGACUUGGUUGUAUCAGAUUUGGUUGAUACGGAUCCUUUGCAAGACACGUUGUCUAGUACCAA
RNAcentral lists this small RNA (809 nucleotides) under Pongo abelii (Sumatran orangutan). RNAcentral's name for it is "processed transcript". The record is from RNAcentral. Lineage: Eukaryota; Metazoa; Chordata; Mammalia; Primates; Hominidae.